RNAcentral lists this ribosomal RNA (253 nucleotides) under uncultured bacterium. RNAcentral describes it as "partial 16S ribosomal RNA". It matches the Rfam family "Bacterial small subunit ribosomal RNA", at positions 524 to 776 of the family's 1533-position model. The record is from RNAcentral.
UACGGGGGGGGCAAGCGUUGUUCGGAAUUACUGGGCGUAAAGGGCUCGUAGGUGGCCAAGUAAGUCAGACGUGAAAUCCCUCAGCUUAACUGGGGAACUGCGUCUGAUACUGGAUGGCUUGAGUUUGGGAGAGGGAUGCGGAAUUCCAGGUGUAGCGGUGAAAUGCGUAGAUAUCUGGAGGAACACCGGUGGCGAAGGCGGGAUCCUGGACCGAUACUGACACUGAGGAGCGAAAGCCAGGGGAGCAAACGGG